This 441-nucleotide ribosomal RNA is filed under the name uncultured bacterium. Its description in RNAcentral is "partial 16S ribosomal RNA". It matches the Rfam family "Bacterial small subunit ribosomal RNA", at positions 338 to 795 of the family's 1533-position model. The record is from RNAcentral.
CCUACGGUGAGCAGCAGUGGGGGAUAUUGCACAAUGGGGGGAACCCUGAUGCAGCGACGCCGCGUGGGUGAAGGAGUGCUUCGGCAUGUAAAGCCCUAUCGGCAGGGAAGAAGCAAGACGGUACCUGACUAAGAAGCCCCGGCUAACGACGUGCCAGCAGCCGCGGUAAUACGUAGGGGGCGAGCGUUAUCCGGAUUCACUGGGUGUAAAGGGAGGGUAGACUGCCAUGCAAGCCAGGGGUGAAAGCCCGGGGCCCAACCCCGGGACUGCCCUUGGAACUGCAUGGCUGGAGUGCGGGCGGGGCAGGCGGAAUUCCUGGUGUAGCGGUGAAAUGCGUAGAUAUAAGGAGGAACACCAGUGGCGAAGGCGGUCUGCUGGACAGCAACUGACGGUGAGGCGCGAAAGCGUGGGGAGCAAACAGGAUUAGAUACCCGGGUAGUC